UAAAUAUAAAAAAUAAAUUCUCCUUUUACAUAUAUAAUCAUUUCUUAAUAUCAACCAAAUUUUUGCUAGAUUUUUUAUUCCUUUUUAUAUUUUUCGAAAUACACGUGAUAAAUAUCUUUAAUUAAUAAAUACGUAAAAAAUAAAAGCAUAAAUAUUAAUUUCUCAUUUAUUCAAUUGUUUCGUCUUUCUUUACUAGCUUAAACCGUAAAGUGUUUAUUAUUCAAAUAUUUGAAAAUGAAGCAAACAAUGCAAUUAUUUCGCUUGUAUCGGUUAAACGUUAAAACCAAGAGGCAUCGAACGUUGAGCUCUCCAUCCGCAAAUCGGAAACAAAGAAACGGGAAAAAUAGAAUUACUUUGAACUAUAAAAUAGUGUUUCGAAUUAAUGAUAGUAAUUACUUUGUAGACUUUUAUUUCGUUUAAAAGAAAGUUUACAUAUAAAUAAUUUAAUAAUUUUCAAUAGCAUAUACGUAUAAAUACGUACUCGGAAUAUAAAGGAUCCAAAGGAUAACGAUGAAAGGUUUGAAGUGUUUAUUGAACAAAAAAAAAAAAAAAUGACGCCAGAUGACUUGCGUUGUCAUUAAAAUGAAAUAACAUUUAUUGAAUCGAGACAGUGACACCUAACAGUGGUUUUCUAUAUCCUACUACUUACAAUCUUAAAGAUAAUAAGAAAACUGCGUGACCACUUCCGCGUCACCGCCCUCGGAUCUGUCUGAAGAUUCACAGGAUCGUUCGCAAUGUGAAUCAAAGACAUUCAUCUUCAUCUUCCAAUAACAUCACUGAAAUGGAACUUGCACCUAUCUUUAAACAUGCAAUUUAUCAA
Apis dorsata (giant honeybee) is the source of this 820-nucleotide long non-coding RNA. RefSeq lists it as uncharacterized. The transcript is spliced from 2 exons. Lineage: Eukaryota; Metazoa; Arthropoda; Insecta; Hymenoptera; Apidae. The record is from RefSeq and is a predicted model, not a curated record.